UACCUGUGGAUUCCUCAGUAAAUUCGCCAUCGCCCACUCUAGUGUUACGGCGGAGGUCUCAGUCCCGGCGAGCAUCAUCGCCUUUAACAAACAAUCAGGUAAAAAUUGAAUUCAAAAUUCGUUCUAUUUCAAUUAAAUCAAGUUUUUUGAUUUGAUCAUGAUUCAUGAAUUAGACAUCUUACCAUCAUGAGGCCUUUGAUGGUAACGUCAGUAUAAUAGUCAGGUUGUUGUUGUUGUAGAGAGAUCAAAUGAUUGACCAUUGUGUUACCUUCUUUAUCUCUUCUACACUCAUCGAGCAAACGCUGCAAAAUCUCAUCCAUGGAUUUGCCAAUAGCUAUAACUUCCUUUUCGUAUUUGUUUCCGAAUAGUUUUAGAACUGGCAAGUAAUCAGCGGAAUGGUUAGCUCCGCUGUACACUGCGAUAUCGUAAACUAGCUUCUUGAAUAGCUCUGCUUCUUCCUUGUUGUUGACAUCGUCGCCGUAAUAUCGCUUCCCUGUAACCAUCCUUACUAUGUUGUUGAACGUUAGAUCGGAUAAGAGUGGUUCGAGCUCGAUGUGAGUGAAACUGCUGCUUCCGUUGGAGGCUUGCGUGGUGCGUGAAAUGCGCUUGAGCAUGCGCAAUAUCUCGUCUUUGCGGAUGUGUUGGAAGUUGUUGAGGCGGUGAGAGGAGAGAAUCUCUUGAGAGCAAAUGCGGCGGAGGUUACGCCAGUGGUCUCCGUAAGGAGCUGUUCCAACGGUUGUGUGGUUAUAGGCGACGUAUUUGGCAGUGAGUUGUAGAGGCCGGCUAGAGAGAAGGAUGUCGUUUUGGCCGGUGAAGGCUUCUUGAGCGAGGGAAGAUGAAGUUAUGACAACAACGUUGCGAGAGCCGAAACGAAGGGAAAAGAUUGGGCCGUAUCGGUUGGAGAAGCGUUGGAGGAGACGGUGGAUCGGCGGUUUCAUGAGGUGGAGAUGGCCGACGAAGGGACGUGACGGUGGUCCUGGAGGGAGCUUGAAACAAUGCGUUUUGGAGUAGAGAAAUUUGUAAGCCAAAAGAAGGGAUAAGAGAGGGAGAAGGAUCAAGUAUAACAUUUUGCCCUUUUUUUUCUUUUUUCUGGAUGUUUGUGUUUCUUCUGCUAGUGAUACUGGUUAUGGUUUGUUAAGUUUAUAAUUUUAUAAAUUUCAAAUCUCGUUCACUAAAGUUAAACGAAAAACUUCAAAAUACUGUUUCUUCCCUUUUACUUGUACGGUGCUAGUUUAUGAAUAAAGAAAUUCAAACCAAUGCAACUUGACACGACCAUUUUUAAAAUCUUUCGCAUGGAAAUUCGAAACCAUGCAAGUUGAAACUGCUAUCCAUCCGACUCGUCAAUGAUUAUUAAAUAAGGCUCAUAAAGGUUCAAGUUUCAGAAAACUCAAUAAUGGGAAUUGAUUAUUGCAAUUGUCUGUCUUUUUGGUUAUGAUGGGUCAUAAAGACUCGACCAAUAUGUGGCUACGUUAUUGUUUCUUUAACAAUAAAUUUAGCGAAAUAUGUUUUUAAGGUUUAAAUGAUGAUUACAUUACAGACAGAUAUUCAUUUGAUAAUUGUUACUACUAAAUCAAGAAGCAAGAAGCAAAAGGAAAUGAAUUAAUCAAUUCUAAAUUAUUAAUUUAAUAACAAAGGUAUUUACUUUAUCAAAGCAAAAGGAGAAAGUCACUUAAGCUACAAUAAUAGUAUUUUCUUGCGGUCGUGACUCGUGAGAGGAGGAGAAGGAUAAUUAAUUGCCUUGCAGUUUCUUCAUCGUACGUCAUCACAAGGUCAUCUGUAACAGAUUCUUUUCAAUUAUUGAUAUCCGCAUAUGAUGCAACCAAGUUUACAUAUGAAGAAGAAGAAGUUGUAUCUGAAAAGUAACUCUAGCUACAAAUUUUAGUUUCUAUGCUUUCACCUAACCAAAAAAUUCAAAUCCAGUUUACAAAAACAGUGAAAAGGAUCUGUCACACAACUAUGCUAUUAACACAAUAACCCAUCCAAAAUCUAAUGAAACUUUCAUCUUUGCCAUGCCAUUUUAUAACCGUCUUUAACCGGGUGACUGAACCAUUUUCUGGUCAACCUCUUCAACCUCAGGUCCUUGACUUCGCAGAAUCUCUGGCCCCAUCCUUCCGGUUCAAUGGGCCUAAAGCCCAACCCAGGAGUUCGAUCUCUCGACUUAGGGUUAGAGACUCUGGUCCAAUCCACCACGUACGCCGACACGCGUCGUUUGAACUUGGCCUUGAACUCUAACCACGCCUGGUACUUGUAAUGGUUCACCACUCCCUCCUCCGUGUCCGCCACACGCCACUCAUACUCUUUCUUCAAACCAAAGUGGUGAAUUGCUGUAUACAGAGAAUGCUCAAUCGCGCUUAGCCGCACGAUCGACUUGUGCCGUUGAUCUUCCUCUCGCCGACACGUGUACCCUUGCGUCACACCUCCACGUGGAUGCUCAGUCUGAUUCGACGGCCCAAACUCGUGCGAUUUAAACGACACCUGUCCGAUCAUGCUAUGAUCCGACGGUAGAAGAGACCUAAUCAUCUGAUCCGACGGCUGCGACUUAUUAUCCCAAGACGGAGAGAAGAGAAACUCGUCCACGUCAAGGUACAUCAUCCAGGUGCACAAAUCGUUUCCAUACACCGCCGCGUGGGAGAACCCAGCCUCUUGAGUCUUGGGCCAGAUCCAAAAAACUUUGGUGACGUCAUACCUUUCACUCUUGAGAACCUCAACGACGUCGUUUAACUCGUCGUCGCUUCCAUUAUCGUAAAUGAUGAAUCUUUGUAUUCCGAUCGCCGCGUGAUACAUCACCCACUCUCUCAAAUACUUCGCUACAUUGUACACCAUCGUCGUCGCGCACAGUAGCGAUUUCUCACGUGGUUCUGUUAACGUGCGCUUAGGGCUAAAGUACGCGACAGACGGGACUGUCUUUGUCUCCUCCUUAUGAUCGGUUGCCACUGCCUCGAGGUAGAUUUUGACCGGCGUAUCGAUCGUUUUGUUAGGGAAUGAACAUCGGAACACCUCUUGAACGGAGCUCGUCACGGGGGUUCUAAUGGCGGUGUCGGAUUCCUCACCGAACACGCAACGAAACGACUCGGGAGGUUUAUUGGAGCCUAAUCCACGGUUCGGCCCUUUGACUAAGAGAACGACGUCGUUUUCCGUUGAAAUGGCUUCGAAAACGACGAAGUUCCAUAGAGGAAGAUCAGGCCAACGUGUUUCCGGUGAGAGUUGGAAUGUUUUGGAAGUGGCAAGUACCGGAGUAGGGAUGGGAUGGUGGUGGCGGUAUAUACCGGGAAGGCUGCAUCUGAAUGUCGUACGGUUCGUGAAAGGGAGAAUCGCGACGAACCUCGCCGUGGCUUUCUCACCGUUAGGGUAAAAACAUGUGUAGUUCUCCCCUGGAAGCUGAGGCGGGAGAACUUUCUCCUCCGGUGAAACGAUCACAAGGAUCUCCCAUCCUGGCCAGAGAACAGCUUCGGCCUUGAUCCUGCGAGAACCGUUGGAUUGUUGAGGGCUUGAAUCUUGAGUGUUGAUCACGUAACUGACGAUUCUUGAUUUAGUCGGGCGUACCGUGGCAAAGAAGGCAGCUCGAUAAAUCGUGUUUGGGGAACAAUAGAGAGAGAACAGACCAAAGAGAGAGAGUGGAACAAGAAUGAAGAAGAGUGUGGUUGUGUGUGCUCUGUAACUCGUUUUGUGAUUGAAGAAUUGAGCAGCACCAUCGUCUGCUCCGGUGGUUGAUUUUGGUGAUGAUCGAGGAGAAGAACAAGUCUUGAAGGAUAGCGUCAUUGUCGAUUACGUAUCCAACAAACUUGUUUUGUAGUUUUACCCAAAUAAAAAAAUCCAUCAAUGAAAAUAUUUUUUUUUGUAUUGUUUUUUAUCGUUUACAUUGUUUGUUUUGAGUUUCAGAAACACUAAUUAUAAUGACCAAAGAUUGGAUGAAGAAAGAAAAAUUCUAAACCCAUGAAAAUAGCAGAAAAAAUCUGAAAAUGAUUAGUUUUUGGAGAAAAAUGCUUCAGCUCUUUUUUGUGGUUGCUAUUGCCAAAUAUAGCUUUUUAUCAAUUCAUUCACACGUUGUCCUCUUUGGUUACACAAACGCAGCACAAGGUAACAAUUUUGCAUAAGAAGUAGUAUAAAUGAUUCUUUAACUGUUUUUCACGCGAUAUUCUCAAUCUCUAAGCGUAUAUAUAAAAGACUUUGUAGGAUCUGUUUUGACAUAGUUAAAAUCCUUAAAAGGGGGUAAAAAAGAAAUAGGCCGUACGUGUGUAUAUAUAAUGUAUAUGCUUCGAUAUGGGCAACAAUGGUGGCAUGAUCUUAAGAGAAUCGAAUAUCAAAAAUUAAAUAUUAUCCUUUGAUAUAGAAAAAUGAAUAUUAUCCUUUCUUUAAUAUCGGAAACAUGUUUUGCACAAUAUAAAAUAAGUAACAGUGUGUUCUUGCGAAAUCAGUCUAUGCUUUUUAUAAGGCAUAUAUACGACAGAGGUGGUUGAGCUUAUUUCUUGACCCACGUCCUUUUGUUUUUUUUUUUGUUUGUCGCUUUGUCACACAUAUUCGAUCCCACAAUAUUAAUAAUGGUAUUGAUUACUGAGCCCCUUGGCCUCUAUUAUAAGCUAUAGGAUUUCAUUUCAAUCAAGAAAAAGAAAGAGAGCCAAAAGGAAAGAUGUUUCAGUUUUAUUUUCUCGCGAUGAUUUUCAUCGUCCCCUUACUCUACAUAGCUUACAGUUUCAGUUCUAAAAGACAACGUUUCAACAUUCCACCAGGUCCUCCGGGUCUUCCUGUCGUCGGACAUCUCCACCUCAUCAAACCACUCCUCCACCGUUUCUUCCAUAGCUACUCCAAAAAGUACGGUCUCAUAUUCACCCUCCGCUUCGGAUAUCGCCGUCUCGUCGUUAUAUCGUCUUACCCUCUAGUUAAAGAAUGCUUCAGCGGCCCAAAUGAUAUUAUUUUGUCAAACCGGCCUUUAUCCAUGACAAACAAAUACAUUGCUUACAAUAACACCACCAUCGGAACCUCCCCCUACAACGAACAUUGGAGAAACCUCAGGCGCAUCAGCUCCGUGGAGAUUCUCUCCUCCCAACGCCUCGCAAGCUUCCUAGAUAUUAGGAGAGACGAGCUCCGUCGGAUGCUCAGGAGACUUGCACGUGACCACACCACUAAGGGUAAUUAUCAACUCGAUUCUUUCAAGGAGGUCGUACUUGAACCCCCCUUGUCAGAUUUAGCGCUCAACAAUGUCGUGAGGAUGGUGACGGGGAAGAGAUACUACGGCGAUGAUGUUCGUGACAAGGAAGAGGCAGAGAUAUUCAAGAAUCUCAUCAUAGAUAUUUUCGAAAACAGCUCCGCGAAUAAUCCUAGCAAUUAUUUGCCUUUCUUGAAAUUCUUUGGGAGCAAGUACGAGAAGCAGGUGAAACGUAUCGGCAAUUCCGUGGACAAGACUUUGCAGCGUCUCCUCGACGAGUGUCGGAAAGACAGGGAUGGAAACAGUAUGAUCAAUCACUUGGUGUCUUUGCAGGAUCAAGAACCUGAGUAUUACAACGACGUAACCAUCAAAGGGUUAAUUAUGGUAACACGUGGUUAUAAACAAAUUUUAUAUUUGUUAUUGAUCAUCAUAUUUCUCUAAGUGAUUAUAUAUUUAUAUUUGGUUAUAUAUUAUGCGUAUGGAUCAAUUUUAUACCUUUAAUUUUCAUGAAUCAAUUUAUAUGCAGGCUAUGAUAAUCCCAGGAUCAGAUACUACUUCAGUUAUGAUCGGAUGGGUUAUGGCAAACUUGCUGAACCAUCGGGACGUGUUGAAAAAAGCAAGCGCGGAGAUCGAUGAAAAGAUCGGACAAGACCGUCUCAUCGACGAAGAAGACAUCUCCGACCUUCCUUACCUUCAAAAUAUUGUGUCUGAGACAUUCCGGUUAAACCCGGUGUCCCCGAUCUUGCUCCCUAGGGAAGCUUCCGAGAACAUGAAAGUCGGUGGGUAUGACAUACCACGUGGCACAACAGUUGUGAUCAACGCGUGGGCUAUACACAGAGACCCGGAGCUCUGGCACAAUCCAGAAGAGUUUAAUCCUGAAAGAUUUAGUGGGAAAAAUAUCAAAAUUGAUGGAUCCAUCGACAGUGUUCAGACUCUGAUGCCGUUUGGGAACGGUAGGAGACAGUGUCCUGGUUCUGCCCUCGGGAUGAAGACAGUGACGUGGACAGUAGGAGCAAUGGUCCAAUGCUUUGAUUGGAAGACUGUGAAUGGUGAUAAGAUUGAUAUGGAGGAAUCUCGAGGGAUUGUGAUGCGUAAUCUUAAGCCUUUACGUGUUAUGUGCCGACCUCGACCAAUUAUGUCUAAACUUGUUGCUGAGACAACUUCUUAGACCGUAUCGUUUAAUCAGAGUUUGACGGCAGCUCUAUCAUCUAUACGGGCCGGCGAAUGCGAUAGAAUCGCCAACAAAUAAUAAUACAUACUUGGACCUAGACCAAAGCAAAGAAAAAAUAAAACAUCAAAACAAUUUUUCUUUUAGACAGCACCAGAUAUCAGAUAACAGGUUUCCGUUUCUUUUGUAACAUUUUUAUAUAACAAGGUUUUAUACGAUCCAUGUGUUACAAUUUCCUUUUUUCGUAACACUUGUAGAGAAGCUUUAAAAUAAAAUAAAAUUCUUCCUUAUUUUCCAUCUUUGUGCUCUCAGCCUUCCACUUUUAGGUUUAAUAUCUUUCGAAUUGUAUUCCAAUUAGUGGAGUGGACAACUGGACGAUGGACAUUAACAUUUGAAAAAAGCUACCUAUACACUUCAUUAGUGGUUUUGAUCCAGAAUCAAACCGAAUCGAAAAAGAUCAAAAAAGCUAUCCAAAAAUAAUAUUCUAUGAAAAUUAAAGAUAUAUUUAACUAAUCUCGAAUACGAAUCAAAGACAAAUAAAACUCAACCAAACUAUUCGUAAACCGAAUUCAAUAAAUAUACAAAAAAACAAACUGAAUUCUAAUUGAGAUCAUCCUUGCCCUCAAUGGACAUAAUUUGAUUAAUGAGAAAAUCCGUUAUGACCUAAUAAAUACCAACAAAAUAUAAUUUUACUUUUCUAAGUAGUGUAGUAUAAUAUUAUUUUUGGUCACGAUAAAAGUACAUUUUUUAUCAGAACCUUUAAAUAUGGGCAAAUCAUUAGACCUUUUUCGUAUUUGUUUGAAUUACACACAUAGCCAAAACCUAACAAGUUUGCUGAGAAAACCAAAAAAGUAGUUUAAAAAAAAAACUAAGCGUGUAAAUGAGCCUGAAGCUUAUUCAUAAUGGGCCGAGAUCGACAUAAAGCCCGUAAAGGUACUUUCUUACGCAUCGCCAUCCCCGGAGUCUCCGUCAUAUCAAUCUCCUCGCCGUUGACUUUUUCCCAGUCAAAGCAUUGAAUCAACGAACCUAACGCCAACGUCACGAUCUUCUGCCCUAACGCGGCGCCGGGACACGAUCUCCGUCCAUUACCAAACGGCAUCAGCUUAUGAACGUCUUCUCCGCCGUUAAACCUCUCUGGUUUAAACUUCUCCGGUUCGUUCCAAAGAUUUGGAUCUCUGUGUAUUGCCCACGCGUUCACCAUCACCAUCGUGCCACGUGGCACGUCGUAUCCUCCUACUUUGAUAUCCUCCGUCGGCGAUCUUGGCACCAGAAGCGGCGCCGCCGGGAAUAGCCGGAAUGUUUCGGACACUAUGUUUUGUAGGUAAGGCAAGUUUGCAACGUCUGGUUCGUCAAUCAAACGUUCUUGUCCGAUUAUCUCGUCAAUCUCUAGUUUUGCUUUCUCUAAUGACUCUGGAUGGUUUAGCAAACUCGACAUCGCCCACUCCAAUGUCACGGCGGAGGUGUCUGUUCCAGCGAUCAUCAUGCCCUGUAAUGCCCCAUAAUUAGCAAACUUUUAUAAUCAGAGACUGAGACACUAAUCUGUACACAGACGCCGGGCCAUGCCAAUUCUAUAAGUAACGAUUCUUAAAUAUUAUGCCUAAAAAGUCGAAUAACGUGUCUUCGAUUUUACAAUUUAUAAACAGACUCUAACCAAGGUCAAGCUGCACCUAAUUAACAACCUAAUAUAAAUUAACUCAACAAAUUUUUUAACUUAAUCAAGAUUGUUUUCCGAAAAUUUCAAAUAUUAAAUAUAACAACUCUUUCUAUAUUUUUGAACCACCAGAAUUUGGAAACAAAACAAAAUUGAAUGAAACUACCAAAGAUUAAUUUGCAUAAACACAUAUAUGUGUAUACGAGUGUGUUAANNNNNNNNNNNNNNNNNNNNNNNNNNNNNNNNNNNNNNNNNNNNNNNNNNNNNNNNNNNNNNNNNNNNNNNNNNNNNNNNNNNNNNNNNNNNNNNNNNNNNNAAGGAUUCGUUACCAGCAUUAGGCCUUUGAUGGUGAUGUCAGUGUAAUACUCUGGCUCAUGUUGUUGGAGAGAGAGCAAGUGAUUAACCAUAGUGUUACCGUCUUUAUCUCUCUUACACUCUUCAAGGAGACGCUGCAAGAUCUCAUCCAUGUUUUUGGCGACAGCUUUCACUUUCUUCUCAAAGCUCCCUCCAAAUAUCUUCAAGAAGGGCAAGUAAUCUCCGGGAUGCCUAGCGCCGCUACUGUCGUUGAUGUCGGCGACGAGUUUCUUGAAAACAUUCGCCUCUUCUUCGUUAUGGACUUCGUCUCCGUAGUAUCUCUUCCCUGUAACCAUUCUCACGAUGUUGUUGAACGUCAGAUCAGACAAGAGCGGCUCUAGCUCGAUGUCUUUGUUGACGUCACGUGAGAGUCUCGUGAGCAUACGGCGGAUUUCGUCUUUGCGGAUGUGGAGGAAGUUGGUGAGACGGUUCGAGGAGAGGAUUUCGAGGGAGCAAAUGCGGCGGAGGUUACGCCAGUGGUCGCCGUAAG
This 8806-nucleotide long non-coding RNA is filed under the name Capsella grandiflora. RNAcentral's name for it is "long non-coding RNA (CGRA_LNC000166)". Lineage: Eukaryota; Viridiplantae; Streptophyta; Magnoliopsida; Brassicales; Brassicaceae. The record is from RNAcentral.